GGACUACUAGGGUAUCUAAUCCUGUUUGCUCCCCACGCUUUCGCACCUGAGCGUCAGUCUUUGUCCAGGGGGCCGCCUUCGCCACCGGUAUUCCUCCAGAUCUCUACGCAUUUCACCGCUACACCUGGAAUUCUACCCCCCUCUACAAGACUCUAGCUGGACAGUUUUAAAUGCAAUUCCCAGGUUGAGCCCGGGGCUUUCACAUCUAACUUAUCCAACCGCCUGCGUGCGCUUUACGCCCAGUAAUUCCGAUUAACGCUUGCACCCUCCGUAUUACCGCGGCUGCUGGCAC
RNAcentral lists this ribosomal RNA (292 nucleotides) under uncultured bacterium. Its description in RNAcentral is "partial 16S ribosomal RNA". The record is from RNAcentral.